This 227-nucleotide ribosomal RNA is filed under the name uncultured bacterium. Its description in RNAcentral is "partial 16S ribosomal RNA". It matches the Rfam family "Bacterial small subunit ribosomal RNA", at positions 524 to 748 of the family's 1533-position model. The record is from RNAcentral.
UACGAAGGGGGCUAGCGUUGCUCGGAAUCACUGGGCGUAAAGGGUGCGUAGGCGGGUCUUUUAAGUCAGGGGUGAAAUCCUGGAGCUCAACUCCAGAACUGCCUUUGAUACUGAAGAUCUUGAGUUCGGGAGAGGUGAGUGGAACUGCGAGUGUAGAGGUGAAAUUCGUAGAUAUUCGCAAGAACACCAGUGGCGAAGGCGGCUCACUGGACCCGGUACUGACGCUG